Molecule: ribosomal RNA, 253 nt
Filed under: uncultured prokaryote
Description: partial 16S ribosomal RNA
Rfam family: Bacterial small subunit ribosomal RNA
Source: RNAcentral
UACGUAGGGUGCGAGCGUUAAUCGGAAUUACUGGGCGUAAAGCGUGCGCAGGCGGCGCGUUAAGACAGGUGUGAAAGCCCCGAGCUUAACUUGGGAAUUGCGCUUGUGACUGGCGUGCUGGAGUGUGGCAGAGGGAGGUGGAAUUUCACGUGUAGCAGUGAAAUGCGUAGAGAUGUGGAGGAACACCGAUGGCGAAGGCAGCCCCCUGGGAUGAUACUGACGCUCAGGCACGAAAGCGUGGGGAGCAAACAGG